UGACACACAAUUAUUUUUUAGCUUCUCUCUUUCUCUUUCUCUUUUUCUAUUUGUCUUUUGUGUUGUUUAUCAGAUCUCAUAGAAGGUGAAACCAGGAUAGUACUCCACUCAGAGUUGAUGCACAGCUGCACUACGUUUCCCAGCGUCCCCAGCAAGUAGGAGGGACCAUAUGACGAGUUCUGUCAAUGGAUAUGAAUGGAAGUGCUGGCCACUAUUUCCAGGCCUUGACAGUAAAAAUCCUCCUCCCAGCCCUCCACGUUCUCUCUCUGUCCCCAUCUGCAACUGAAUGCAGAGAAGGAAGGUGUCAUAGAAGAUGCAGAGCCACAUGAUGAAAGGAGCCGGGCUCCCUGGAUGAUGGAACAGUCUCCACAGUGACCCUCUUUGGAUUGUGAUAUGAGUGAGUUUGAAACGUCGUUGUGUUCGCCACUGGGAUUUGAGUUUGUUUGCUACAACAGUGUCUUUGUUUGGGUUCCUCCCAGGAUCAGGUUCUGAGAUAUGGAUUGAUGUCCAAGUAGUUUAUUGGGAGGUGAUCCCAGGAAACAUCAGUACACAGGCAAGUGGGAAAGUGAGAAGGAAAAGGGAUGGAUUCCAAUGAAUGGCACAUUAUCUACCAGAUUGUACUGUGGCAGCUGGAGCUCAGUCACACAAGGAAACUCUGGGAGGCAAUACAGAACAUAUCUCAGAGCUAUCCUAACUGAGAGAUGACCAACUGCCACCUGAACUUCUGAAUGGAUUUUUCUCUGCGCCCACUUGAUAUGCUCUACUUCAGUGGGAGGAGGGCAGUGACAAGAAGUCAAGAAGACUUGAAUUCCUGCCAACUGAGAGACGGCUGAAGGAAAUGGGAACAUUUAUCUUGCAGAAGAGAAAUAUGGAGGCCUCAAGGACUGGCAUCAGACAGCUGACUCGCUGCUAUGUGCAAGAAGUGGGCUUAUCUUAAGUUGUCCAGAGUGCAGUAGAAAAUGGAAACUCUGGGCAAUCAGAUUUCAGCUCAAUGUAAGUGAUUUCUCUUUUUUGUUGUUUUGUAAAUUUUUGAGAAAAUGGUUUUAAGUGAUAAAAAUAGCAACAUACUGUUUCUUUCUUUUAAAAAAAAAAAUCAAACAAUAACAAAAUGUCUAAGGUGGAGAGUAAAAGCCUCUUUUCCUUUACUCACUCCCAAUCCCUAGGAAUACCCUUGAUAUCUAUCCUCCCAUGUCCCUAUCUAUGCACAUGCAAACGUGCUAUCCAUACAUACACAUAUGCCUACUACGUGUCCAUAGAAUUUUCCUCUAUUUUUGUUUGCUUUCAAAUAUAUGGCCAUAAAAUGGGUAUAUCUCAGAAUGCAAUGAACAAGAAAGGCCCUUUAAGAGUAAAUUUCUGUGAUUUCCAAAUGUUAUUUUAUAGAGAUGCCCUGCUGAAGGAUCUGAAAUAUAUAACUUUAGUUAUUGACUGUAAAUAUUCAAGGUGUUCCACAGUUUUAGUUAAUCUGACUUUUUUUAUUAAAAAAAGUUUACCAGAUACCUACAAAAUGGAAGUAGGCAUUUUGUACUGAUACUUAUUUUUAAGAGAAAGGAUAUCCAAACAAUUUAAGCUAUUUAAAAAUGGGUGAGCUGCUUAGACGUUUUAGCCACUGGCUAUGUUCAAACAGAGGUUGGUUGACCAGUUGGUUACAACGUUAUAGAGGUGAUUAAUGCCACAGAUGGGAAGGUGGGGAGAGUUGGACUGGGUGCUUUCCAAGAUUCAUUCAGUGCUCUGAUUCCCCGACUUCCUGCGCUCUGCUCACCUGGGCAGUGAAAGAUCGCAGGUGGUGCCCUGUGAAGAGGAGCAGCCAAAUGGCUCCUGCUCCCCAUGGCAGGAACCGCAGGUGCACACACAGUGGCUGGGUCCAGGGCCACUCACUGAUGCAUGGCUGGUGGACAGAAGCGCCUGCAGGCAGCAAUUCUUGUUCCAGCUGCUCUCUGGACAUUCGGGGCUUUCAACUUUGGUACCUGGAUUUAAAAGAAAACAAAUUCCUUUUUAAACAGUGCAGGUUUGAAAUUGAAGCAAAUACUGUACAUUCUUAUAAGCCUGGCAGUGCAGGAAAUUACUCCUUCACCUGUUUCCUAUUUUGACAUUUCAUUAAGAUGGAAUUUAGUGGCUAGAAAAAAUAAUAUUAAAAUAUUUGACCUUAAAAAAAAAAACAAAAACACUGGUUAGAGUCUUCAAUGUUUAGAACUCCCUCUGCUUGUGCUUCUUCUCCUUUUGAAAAAAAAAAUAUAUAUAACUCCCAGAAAAGCUGUGAAAAGAAUACAUCAAACACUUGCAUCCUCUCACCUACAUUCACUAGUUAUUGACAUUUUGCUAUAUUUGCUUUCUCUAUAUGUACAUUUAUUAUUAUUGUUGUUGUUAGGAACUAUUUGAGAUAAGUUGCAGAUAUCAUGACCCUUCCCACCUGAACAUAUCAGCAAGUGUUUCCUAAGAACAAAGACAGAGUGCAAUGAUCAAAUUUAGGAAAUUUAACACAGAUAUGAAUCUCUUACUGAAUACGAUCAUAUCCAAGUUUUGCCAGUCUUUCUGAUAUUGGGGUUUAUAACAUGUUUUCCCAACCCAGGACUUUGUAUUUCUACUUAGUUGUCAUGCUUCUUUUUUUUUUUUUUUCUUUGAGAUGGAGUCUCGCUCUGUC
Molecule: long non-coding RNA, 2638 nt
Organism: Macaca mulatta (Rhesus monkey)
Lineage: Eukaryota; Metazoa; Chordata; Mammalia; Primates; Cercopithecidae
Source: RefSeq, a predicted model, not a curated record